AGAGUUUGAUCCUGGCUCAGAUUGAACGCUGGCGGCAUGCCUAACACAUGCAAGUCGAACGGAAACGAUGGGAGCUUGCUCCCAGGCGUCGAGUGGCGGACGGGUGAGUAAUACUUAGGAAUCUGCCCAUUAGUGGGGGACAACUCGAGGAAACUCGAGCUAAUACCGCAUACGCCCUACGGGGGAAAGCGGAGGACCUUUCGGGGCUUCGCGCUAAUGGAUGAGCCUAAGCCGGAUUAGCUAGUUGGUAGGGUAAAAGCCUACCAAGGCGACGAUCCGUAGCUGGUCUGAGAGGACGAUCAGCCACACUGGGACUGAGACACGGCCCAGACUCCUACGGGAGGCAGCAGUGGGGAAUAUUGCACAAUGGGCGCAAGCCUGAUGCAGCAAUGCCGCGUGUGUGAAGAAGGCCUGCGGGUUGUAAAGCACUUUCAGUAGAGAAGAAAAGCUUAGGGUUAAUACCCCUGAGUCUUGACGUUACCUACAGAAGAAGCUCCGGCUAACUCCGUGCCAGCAGCCGCGGUAAUACGGAGGGAGCGAGCGUUAAUCGGAAUUACUGGGCGUAAAGCGCGCGUAGGCGGCUUUGUAAGUCGGAUGUGAAAGCCCUGGGCUCAACCUGGGAAUUGCAUUCGAUACUGCAGAGCUAGAGUAUGGUAGAGGGAAGUGGAAUUUCCGGUGUACCGGUGAAAUGCGUAGAUA
This 699-nucleotide ribosomal RNA is filed under the name uncultured bacterium. RNAcentral's name for it is "bacterial SSU rRNA". It matches the Rfam family "Bacterial small subunit ribosomal RNA", at positions 8 to 696 of the family's 1533-position model. The record is from RNAcentral.